This 427-nucleotide ribosomal RNA is filed under the name uncultured bacterium. Its description in RNAcentral is "partial 16S ribosomal RNA". It matches the Rfam family "Bacterial small subunit ribosomal RNA", at positions 355 to 774 of the family's 1533-position model. The record is from RNAcentral.
UGGGGAAUAUUGCACAAUGGGCGCAAGCCUGAUGCAGCCAUGCCGCGUGUGUGAAGAAGGCCUUCGGGUUGUAAAGCACUUUCAGCGAGGAGGAAGGGUAGUGUGUUAAUAGAACAUUGCAUUGACGUUACUCGCAGAAGAAGCACCGGCUAACUCCGUGCCAGCAGCCGCGGUAAUACGGAGGGUGCAAGCGUUAAUCGGAAUUACUGGGCGUAAAGCGCACGCAGGCGGUUUGUUAAGUCAGAUGUGAAAUCCCCGCGCUUAACGUGGGAACUGCAUUUGAAACUGGCAAGCUAGAGUCUUGUAGAGGGGGGUAGAAUUCCAGGUGUAGCGGUGAAAUGCGUAGAGAUCUGGAGGAAUACCGGUGGCGAAGGCGGCCCCCUGGACAAAGACUGACGCUCAGGUGCGAAAGCGUGGGGAGCAAACA